This 308-nucleotide long non-coding RNA is filed under the name Elaeis guineensis (African oil palm). RNAcentral's name for it is "long non-coding RNA (EGUI_LNC037431)". The record is from RNAcentral. Lineage: Eukaryota; Viridiplantae; Streptophyta; Magnoliopsida; Arecales; Arecaceae.
AUGGGCACACAAUGAUCUAUACUUGAUAAAUAUUAUCGUCCUAUUAAUAACUUAUCAUUUGGUCACGAAGAACGUUUAAGAACUAUACGAUAAAUCCUUCUUUAUCGAUGAGAAGUAGUUCUAAGGAUUUCAUCAUAACAUAAAAGUUCAAUAAGAAAAAUACAAAAUUUAUGAUAAAUUUGUCAAAAAAAUUUUUAUUAAUUUAUAAUUUAUAUAUAAUUUACAAAGAGCGCAAUCAUCUACAAAUAGGCAAUUGACUUUAGCAUACAAUUCCUAAUAUGUGGUAGAUGGAUUGAAUGAUACAUGGA